GAUGAACGCUGGCGGCGUGCUUAACACAUGCAAGUCGAACGGAGCUGUGAUGUGUGAAGGACCAGCUUGCUGGUCUGGAACUUUUCACAGCUUAGUGGCGGACGGGUGAGUAACGCGUGGGUAACCUGCCUUAUACAGGGGGAUAACACUUAGAAAUAGGUGCUAAUACCGCAUAAGCGCACAGGACCGCAUGGUCUGGUGUGAAAAACUUCGGUGGUAUAAGAUGGACCCGCGUCUGAUUAGCCAGUUGGCAGGGUAACGGCCUACCAAAGCGACGAUCAGUAGCCGGCCUGAGAGGGUGAACGGCCACAUUGGGACUGAGACACGGCCCAAACUCCUACGGGAGGCAGCAGUGGGGAAUAUUGCACAAUGGGGGAAACCCUGAUGCAGCGACGCCGCGUGAGUGAAGAAGUAUUUCGGUAUGUAAAGCUCUAUCAGCAGGGAAGAAAAUGACGGUACCUGACCAAGAAGCCCCGGCUAACUACGUGCCAGCAGCCGCGGUAAUACGUAGGGGGCAAGCGUUAUC
RNAcentral lists this ribosomal RNA (526 nucleotides) under uncultured bacterium. RNAcentral describes it as "bacterial SSU rRNA". It matches the Rfam family "Bacterial small subunit ribosomal RNA", at positions 28 to 545 of the family's 1533-position model. The record is from RNAcentral.